GACGAACGCUGGCGGCGUGCUUAACACAUGCCAGUCGAACGGAAAGGCCCUGCUUUUGUGGGGUGCUCGAGUGGCGAACGGGUGAGUAACACGUGAGUAACCUGCCCUUGACUUUGGGAUAACUUCAGGAAACUGGGGCUAAUACCGGAUAGGAUCUCCUGCUGCUUGGUGGGGGUUGGAAAGUUUCGGCGGUUGGGGAUGGACUCGCGGCUUAUCAGCUUGUUGGUGGGGUAGUGGCUUACCAAGGCUUUGACGGGUAGCCGGCCUGAGAGGGUGACCGGCAACAGUGGGACGGAGAUAGGGCCCAGACUCCUACGGGAGGCAGCAGUGGGGAGUAUUGCAAAAUGGGCGGAAGCCUGAUGCAGCAACGCCGCGUGCGGGAUGACGGCCUUCGGGUUGUAAACCGCUUUCGCCUGUGACGAAGCGUGAGUGACGGUAAUGGGUAAAGAAGCACCGGCUAACUACGUG
Molecule: ribosomal RNA, 468 nt
Filed under: uncultured bacterium
Lineage: Bacteria
Description: partial 16S ribosomal RNA
Rfam family: Bacterial small subunit ribosomal RNA
Source: RNAcentral